Molecule: ribosomal RNA, 460 nt
Filed under: uncultured bacterium
Lineage: Bacteria
Description: partial 16S ribosomal RNA
Rfam family: Bacterial small subunit ribosomal RNA
Source: RNAcentral
CCUACGGGUGGCAGCAGUGAGGAAUAUUGGUCAAUGGGCGGGAGCCUGAACCAGCCAAGUCGCGUGAGGGAAGACGGUCCUAUGGAUUGUAAACCUCUUUAGGCGGGGAGCAAUGCCGGGCACGUGUGCCCGGAGGGAGAGUACCCGCAGAAUAAGCAUCGGCUAACUCCGUGCAAGCAGCCGCGGUAAUACGGAGGAUGCGAGCGUUAUCCGGAUUUAUUGGGUUUAAAGGUUGCGUAGGCGGAUUUUUAAGUCAGCGGUAAAAGGUCCGGGCUCAACCCGGGCGGGCCGUUGAAACUGGGGAUCUUGAGUGGGCGAGAAGUAUGCGGAAUGCGUGGUGUAGCGGUGAAAUGCAUAGAUAUCACGCAGAACUCCGAUUGCGAAGGCAGCAUACCGGCGCCCGACUGACGCUGAGGCACGAAAGCGUGGGGAUCGAACAGGAUUAGAUACCCUUGUAGUC